ACUGAGGCCAGCAAGACUCAGCAGGAUACCAGGAAGAUGUUCACUGGAAGACUAUCCCGUGAUUUUGUAAGCCAGCUCUUCUCGAAUACUUGUCUCAAUUUGGCAAGAUCUUAGACUUCACAAUUAAAACCUUCUCAGACACUGGGCUAUUCAAGGGGUUUGGAUUUGUGCUUUUCAAAGAUAGUGCCACGGUUGAAAAGGUGCUCCAAAUGAAAGAGCACAAAUUGGAUGACAAGAAAAUAGAUCUUAAAAGGGCUAACGCAAUGCAAUCUAGAUUCCCCUCAAAAAAUGGUUUUUGUGGGUUGGGUGAACCCUCAUCUGUCUAAAGGAAAGAUCAGACAGUGCUUUGGGACAUUUGGAGAGAUUAAGAAAAUUGAGUUUCCAGUGUGUCCAAAAACAAGUAAAAGAAGAGUUUUCUGUUUCAUCACAUGUACUGAUUAAAAAUUAGUGAAGAAGCUGUUAGAAACCAGAUACCAUCGGAUUAGCUCAGGGUGAGGUGAAGUUAAAAUUGCCCUCCCGAAAGAAAAUAUGAAGCCAACACACAAGUGGA
Molecule: long non-coding RNA, 550 nt
Filed under: Homo sapiens (human)
Lineage: Eukaryota; Metazoa; Chordata; Mammalia; Primates; Hominidae
Description: non-protein coding lnc-DIAPH2-12:1
Source: RNAcentral